RNAcentral lists this long non-coding RNA (210 nucleotides) under Homo sapiens (human). RNAcentral describes it as "non-protein coding lnc-EEF2KMT-5:1". Lineage: Eukaryota; Metazoa; Chordata; Mammalia; Primates; Hominidae. The record is from RNAcentral.
UAUGAUGGCAGCACCCCAUAUGGGGGCCCUCCCAUGAUGCCAAUGAUGGGCCCUCCUCCUCCUCCUGGGGUGAUGCCAGUGGAACCUGCUCCUGGAAUGAGGCUGACCAUGGGAGGCCACAUGCCCAUGAUGCCUGGGUGCCCAAUGAUGAAACCUCCUGCCCGUCUCAUGAUGGUGCCCAGUCAGCCCAGAAUGACUCGACCAGACAGA